RNAcentral lists this transfer RNA (72 nucleotides) under Phrynosoma platyrhinos (Desert horned lizard). RNAcentral describes it as "tRNA-OTHER". The record is from RNAcentral. Lineage: Eukaryota; Metazoa; Chordata; Lepidosauria; Squamata; Phrynosomatidae.
GGCAGCAUGGUGCAGUGGUUUGAGUGUUGGACUAGGACUCUGGAGACCAGGGUUUGAAUCCCCACUGAGCCA